RNAcentral lists this ribosomal RNA (455 nucleotides) under uncultured bacterium. Its description in RNAcentral is "bacterial SSU rRNA". It matches the Rfam family "Bacterial small subunit ribosomal RNA", at positions 30 to 480 of the family's 1533-position model. The record is from RNAcentral.
AUUGAACGCUGGCGGCAUGCCUUACACAUGCAAGUCGAACGGUAACAGGUCUUCGGAUGCUGACGAGUGGCGAACGGGUGAGUAAUACAUCGGAACGUGCCCGAGAGUGGGGGAUAACGGAGCGAAAGCUUUGCUAAUACCGCAUACGAUCUACGGAUGAAAGCAGGGGACCGCAAGGCCUUGCGCUCAUGGAGCGGCCGAUGGCAGAUUAGGUAGUUGGUGGGAUAAAAGCUUACCAAGCCGACGAUCUGUAGCUGGUCUGAGAGGACGACCAGCCACACUGGGACUGAGACACGGCCCAGACUCCUACGGGAGGCAGCAGUGGGGAAUUUUGGACAAUGGGCGAAAGCCUGAUCCAGCCAUGCCGCGUGCAGGAUGAAGGCCUUCGGGUUGUAAACUGCUUUUGUACGGAACGAAAAGACUCCUUUUAAUAAAGGGGGUCCAUGACGGUACCG